Molecule: ribosomal RNA, 359 nt
Filed under: Ixodes ricinus (castor bean tick)
Lineage: Eukaryota; Metazoa; Arthropoda; Arachnida; Ixodida; Ixodidae
Description: partial large subunit ribosomal RNA
Rfam family: Bacterial large subunit ribosomal RNA (bases 236-359)
Source: RNAcentral
AAGAGAAUGAUUAAACAAUUAAAAGCUUUCUUUAAUUGAAUAAUUGAAUUUAAUUUUUUAGUGCAAAAGCAAAAAUAAAAAUUAGGGACAAGAAGACCCUAUGAAUUUUUUAUUAAAUUUUAUAAAACUUUAUAUAAAGUUUAAUUUAAUUGGGGUGAUGGAAAAAGAAUAAAUAUCUUUUUUUUAAAGAAAAUUGGUUCCGUUUUUAGUGAUUAAAUGAAAAAAAUACUCUAGGGAUAACAGCGUAAUAAUUUUGGAUAGUUCAUAUAGAUAAAAUAGUUUGCGACCUCGAUGUUGGAUUAGGAUUCUUUUUUGGUGAAGAAGUUAAAAAAAGAAGUUUGUUCAACUUAUAAUUUCCU